Molecule: non-coding RNA, 910 nt
Organism: Camellia sinensis
Lineage: Eukaryota; Viridiplantae; Streptophyta; Magnoliopsida; Ericales; Theaceae
Source: RefSeq, a predicted model, not a curated record
UUUGCCAAGGUUACUGAAGAAUCUAUUAAAGUGAUGAUGGAAUCAGGUUGUGAAGAGGUAUGCUGUCAAUAUAAGAGUUUUAUGCCUUAAAUUAUAAAUUUUAUUAUGACAAUUAGUCCUUCUUGCUUUCUCAUCUCUUUGUGCCUAAAGCUGAAACUGAAUACUAUGAAAACAGAAAUUAAGAUAUGUACAUUAUAGAUGAGGUGGUUCAUUUUGGAUAAUGCUAUGAAAACAGAAUAAGUUUUGGCCCAAAGAAAAUGAUAUGUUAUACUAGUAACAAUAGCUUUUCUUGGAUAUAUUCCACGCUAAAAACCUACAGCAACCAUUUAUAUGUGUUCUCAAUGAUUAUAAAUACUGUCAUGUUAUUUACUUUGUUUUGGUUCUCCAGUGUGAGCAGUUCAUUGCUAAUAGCAUGGAUGUGCUUCAAAUGCCACUUAUUCAUUAUUUAUCAGACACAAAAAUUUGGUAUGCACUGCCUAUCAAAAGUCUGCAAAGAAAAUCUAAAAUUUGAGAAAACACUUAUAUUAAAUACACUGUUUUUGUUAUUAUUGUAUAGUGUACAACUGAUGAUACUACAUUAUACUUCAUACUGCACACAAAAAUGCAUUUUAGAAACUCAUGCAUUAUUUUUACGAAGACCACCUUUCCACUUCACAUUUCAAUUUUAAAUCACCUUCUGUUAAUAAAGUUCUAAUCAUACUAUGCCAAGUAAAUUUAAUGGAGAACUUCACAUUUAUGUCCAUGUUUGUAUUCUAGUUUUGUCCAUGUUUUUAUUCUAGAAUACUUGUACAUCAUAUAUAUUAAGACAGCUUGGCGGCUGCCACAUUAACCCCAUAAAUAGAUUUUUGGCAACCUAUAAACAUCAAAAUGCGACAUUUGUGUUAGGUACUUGACUUUCAGAAAAAAAAAA